AACGAACGCUGGCGGCAGGCCUAACACAUGCAAGUCGAGCGCACCUUCGGGUGAGCGGCGGACGGGUUAGUAACGCGUGGGAAUAUACCCAGAUCUACGGAAUAGCCUCGGGAAACUGAGAGUAAUACCGUAUACGCCCUUCGGGGGAAAGAUUUAUCGGAUUUGGAUUAGCCCGCGUUAGAUUAGAUAGUUGGUGAGGUAACGGCUCACCAAGUCUACGAUCUAUAGCUGGUUUUAGAGGAUGAUCAGCAACACUGGGACUGAGACACGGCCCAGACUCCUACGGGAGGCAGCAGUGGGGAAUCUUGGACAAUGGGCGCAAGCCUGAUCCAGCCAUGCCGCGUGUGUGAUGAAGGCCUUAGGGUCGUAAAGCACUUUCGCCAGAGAUGAUAAUGACAGUAUCUGGUAAAGAAACCCCGGCUAACUCCGUGCCAGCAGCCGCGGUAAUACGGAGGGGGUUAGCGUUGUUCGGAAUUACUGGGCGUAAAGCGUACGUAGGCGGAUUAGAAAGUAUGGGGUGAAAUCCCAGGGCUCAACCCUGGAACUGCCUCAUAAACUCCUAGUCUAGAGUUCGAGAGAGGUGAGUGGAAUUCCGAGUGUAGAGGUGAAAUUCGUAGAUAUUCGGAGGAACACCAGUGGCGAAGGCGGCUCACUGGCUCGAUACUGACGCUGAGGUACGAAAGUGUGGGGAGCAAACAGGAUUAGAUACCCUGGUAGUCCACACCGUAAACGAUGAAUGCCAGUCGUCGGGUAGCAUGCUAUUCGGUGACACACCUAACGGAUUAAGCAUCC
This 792-nucleotide ribosomal RNA is filed under the name Pelagimonas varians. RNAcentral's name for it is "bacterial SSU rRNA". It matches the Rfam family "Bacterial small subunit ribosomal RNA", at positions 28 to 869 of the family's 1533-position model. Lineage: Bacteria; Pseudomonadati; Pseudomonadota; Alphaproteobacteria; Rhodobacterales; Roseobacteraceae. The record is from RNAcentral.